Molecule: long non-coding RNA, 749 nt
Filed under: Equus caballus (horse)
Lineage: Eukaryota; Metazoa; Chordata; Mammalia; Perissodactyla; Equidae
Description: lncRNA (ENSECAG00000032036.3)
Source: RNAcentral
UAUGGAUUCUAAAAGACUACGGAGAGAAUCAGAGAGAGCACUACACUGGUCAAUUACAGCUCAAAUUCAUUUGCUUUCCAUCUAUUUUCAAAUGCUUUCAAAGAUAUUAAGUAUAUAAAAAAACCAAGAUUCCUAUUUUUGUUAAUGCAGUAACGAGUUUAUGUCCUGUUGUUGCCGUAUUUUCAGCACAGAUCUCUCCAGUACUUCUGAGCAACCAUCUUUCAAGCUUUCCUGUACCUACUUAUAAAGUCUGGCGCCUGGACUCUUUUUCCACAACUGACGCUUGGACUACUGCAGUCAUUUGCCAACAAGAACAGAGGUCCAGGAGUACCUGGGAGUUUAGUCCACAUACCCUUUCCCCAAUGACUGACUGCUGCCGGGGUAGGAAAGCCCAGCUUUCUUGCCCGGACUUUGACCAAAUUCUGAACCAUAAUUUAUACGGCAGUGCUCUGCUGCAUGAUCAUGCUGGAGCUGGAACUUCGCCUAAAAUCGCGUACAUUCUGGGUUUCUUCCUGUCUUGACCUGCUUCUCCCGCUCCCUUAUGAAUUUUUUUUCUGGUAGCAAAUUCUUAAUAAAUCACUUGCACAAGAAUCUUCAUCUAAGGUUUGAUUUUGGGGAACCCCACUUACAACAAUUAUACUAUACUUUUACUUUAUUUCUCCUAAGCUCGAGAACAUUACUUAAUUCAACAGGGAUUGAGUGAUAAAUAUGUGCUUAAUUCCUAGUAUGGAGAAUAUGUUAGUGGUAAU